UACAGAGGCCUCAAGCGUUGUUCGGAAUUACUGGGCGUAAAGGGAGUGUAGGUUGCGAUGUAAGUCAGAUGUGAAAGCCCUGGGCUUAACCCGGGAACUGCAUUUGAUACUGCGUUGCUUGAGUGCGAGAGAGGAAAGGGGAAUUCCCGGUGUAGGAGUGAAAUCCGUAGAUAUCGGGAGGAAUACCAAUGGCGAAGGCACCUUUCUGGCUCGCAACUGACGCUGAGACUCGAAAGCAUGGGUAGCAAACAGG
RNAcentral lists this ribosomal RNA (253 nucleotides) under uncultured bacterium. Its description in RNAcentral is "partial 16S ribosomal RNA". It matches the Rfam family "Bacterial small subunit ribosomal RNA", at positions 524 to 776 of the family's 1533-position model. The record is from RNAcentral.